CGGACGGGUGAGUAAUGUCUGGGAAACUGCCUGAUGGAGGGGGAUAACUACUGGAACGGUAGCUAAUACCGCAUAAUGCUACGGACCAAAGCGGGGGACCUCCGGGCCUCGCGCCAUCAGAUGAACCCAUAUGGGAUUAGCUAGUAGGUGGGGUAACGGCUCACCUAGGCGACGAUCCCUAGCUGGUCUGAGAGGAUGACCAGCCACACUGGAACUGAGACACGGUCCAG
RNAcentral lists this ribosomal RNA (230 nucleotides) under uncultured bacterium. Its description in RNAcentral is "partial 16S ribosomal RNA". It matches the Rfam family "Bacterial small subunit ribosomal RNA", at positions 99 to 334 of the family's 1533-position model. The record is from RNAcentral.